RNAcentral lists this ribosomal RNA (404 nucleotides) under uncultured bacterium. RNAcentral describes it as "bacterial SSU rRNA". It matches the Rfam family "Bacterial small subunit ribosomal RNA", at positions 355 to 774 of the family's 1533-position model. The record is from RNAcentral.
UGGGGAAUUUUCCGCAAUGGGCGAAAGCCUGACGGAGCAAUGCCGCGUGGAGGUAGAAGGCCUACGGGUCGUGAACUUCUUUUCCCGGAGAAGAAGCAAUGACGGUAUCUGGGGAAUAAGCACCGGCUAACUCUGUGCCAGCAGCCGCGGUAAUACAGAGGGUGCAAGCGUUAAUCGGAAUUACUGGGCGUAAAGCGCGCGUAGGUGGUUUGUUAAGUUGAAUGUGAAAUCCCCGGGCUCAACCUGGGAACUGCAUCCAAAACUGGCAAGCUAGAGUAUGGUAGAGGGUAGUGGAAUUUCCUGUGUAGCGGUGAAAUGCGUAGAUAUAGGAAGGAACACCAGUGGCGAAGGCGACUACCUGGACUGAUACUGACACUGAGGUGCGAAAGCGUGGGGAGCAAACA